RNAcentral lists this ribosomal RNA (1480 nucleotides) under metagenome. RNAcentral's name for it is "bacterial SSU rRNA". It matches the Rfam family "Bacterial small subunit ribosomal RNA". The record is from RNAcentral.
AGAGUUUGAUCAUGGCUCAGGAUGAACGCUGGCGGCGUGCUUAACACAUGCAAGUCGAACGAAGCACCUUGAUUUGAUUCUUCGGAUGAAGAUCUUGGUGACUGAGUGGCGGACGGGUGAGUAACGCGUGGGUAACCUGCCUCAUACAGGGGGAUAACAGUUAGAAAUGACUGCUAAUACCGCAUAAGACCACAGCACCGCAUGGUGCAGGGGUAAAAACUCCGGUGGUAUGAGAUGGACCCGCGUCUGAUUAGGUAGUUGGUGGGGUAACGGCCUACCAAGCCGACGAUCAGUAGCCGACCUGAGAGGGUGACCGGCCACAUUGGGACUGAGACACGGCCCAAACUCCUACGGGAGGCAGCAGUGGGGAAUAUUGCACAAUGGGGGAAACCCUGAUGCAGCGACGCCGCGUGAGCGAUGAAGUAUUUCGGUAUGUAAAGCUCUAUCAGCAGGGAAGAAAAUGACGGUACCUGACUAAGAAGCACCGGCUAAAUACGUGCCAGCAGCCGCGGUAAUACGUAUGGUGCAAGCGUUAUCCGGAUUUACUGGGUGUAAAGGGAGCGUAGACGGAGUGGCAAGUCUGAUGUGAAAACCCGGGGCUCAACCCCGGGACUGCAUUGGAAACUGUCAAUCUAGAGUACCGGAGAGGUAAGCGGAAUUCCUAGUGUAGCGGUGAAAUGCGUAGAUAUUAGGAGGAACACCAGUGGCGAAGGCGGCUUACUGGACGGUAACUGACGUUGAGGCUCGAAAGCGUGGGGAGCAAACAGGAUUAGAUACCCUGGUAGUCCACGCCGUAAACGAUGACUACUAGGUGUCGGGCAGCAAAGCUGUUCGGUGCCGCAGCAAACGCAAUAAGUAGUCCACCUGGGGAGUACGUCGGCAACGGUGAAACUCAAAGGAAUUGACGGGGGCCCGCACAAGCGGAGGAACAUGUGGUUUAAUUCGAUGAUACGCGAGGAACCUUACCCGGGCUUGAAUUGCAGAGGAAGGAUUUGGAGACAAUGACGCCCUUCGGGGCCUCUGUGAAGGUGCUGCAUGGUUGUCGUCAGCUCGUGCCGAGAGGUGUCGGCUUAAGUGCCAUAACGAGCGCAACCCCUCUCCAUAGUUGCCAUCAGGUGAAGCUGGGCACUCUGUGGACACUGCCACCGUAAGGUGCGAGGAAGGUGGGGAUGACGUCAAAUCAGCACGGCCCUUACGUCCGGGGCUACACACGUGUUACAAUGGCAGGUACAGAGAGCCGGUCGUAUGCAAAUACGAUCCAAUCCUUAAAGCCUGUCUCAGUUCGGACUGGGGUCUGCAACCCGACCCCACGAAGCUGGAUUCGCUAGUAAUCGCGCAUCAGCCAUGGCGCGGUGAAUACGUUCCCGGGCCUUGUACACACCGCCCGUCAAGCCAUGAAAGCCGGGGGCGCCUGAAGUCCGUGACCGCAAGGAUCGGCCUAGGGCGAAACUGGUAAUUGGGGCUAAGUCGUAACAAGGUA